RNAcentral lists this ribosomal RNA (301 nucleotides) under uncultured bacterium. Its description in RNAcentral is "partial 16S ribosomal RNA". It matches the Rfam family "Bacterial small subunit ribosomal RNA", at positions 509 to 809 of the family's 1533-position model. The record is from RNAcentral.
CAGUAGCCGCGGUAAUGCAGAGGGUGCAAGCGUUAAUCGGAAUUACUGGGCGUAAAGCGCGCGUAGGUGGUUUGUUAAGUUGGAUGUGAAAUCCCCGGGCUCAACCUGGGAACUGCAUUCAAAACUGACUGACUAGAGUAUGGUAGAGGGUGGUGGAAUUUCCUGUGUAGCGGUGAAAUGCGUAGAUAUAGGAAGGAACACCAGUGGCGAAGGCGACCACCUGGACUAAUACUGACACUGAGGUGCGAAAGCGUGGGGAGCAAACAGGAUUAGAUACCCGAGUAGUCCCUGUCUCUUAUAA